UACGGAGGGGACUAGCGUUGUUCGGAAUUACUGGGCGUAAAGCGCACGUAGGCGGAUUUGUAAGUCAGGGGUGAAAUCCCGAGGCUCAACCUCGGAACUGCCUUUGAUACUGCAAAUCUCGAGUCCGGAAGAGGUGAGUGGAAUUCCUAGUGUAGAGGUGAAAUGCGUAGAUAUUGGGAGGAACACCGGUGGCGAAGGCGGCUCACUGGACCGGUACUGACGCUGAGACGCGAAAGCCAGGGGAGCAAACGGG
Molecule: ribosomal RNA, 253 nt
Filed under: uncultured bacterium
Lineage: Bacteria
Description: partial 16S ribosomal RNA
Rfam family: Bacterial small subunit ribosomal RNA
Source: RNAcentral